This is a small nucleolar RNA of Cydia pomonella (codling moth), 75 nucleotides long. The record is from RefSeq and is a predicted model, not a curated record. NCBI's taxonomy places the organism in Eukaryota, Metazoa, Arthropoda, Insecta, Lepidoptera, Tortricidae.
UCUAAAUGAUGCAAAACAACAAACUGAAACAACCAUGUGGUUGCAAAUAUUACGAGCUUUUUAACACUGAUAAGA